GGAAAACUUAGAGGUUUAACUCUUGGAAAUCCAUAAAAAGAGUUCAUGGUGGGAUUGAGGUUUGGUUUGCUUUACUUCUCUCAUUUUUUUAAUCUUUAAUCUCUUCUCUGGGCUCUGAAAGAGCCCGAAGCCCAGGGAAAGAGAUUUUUGGAUUUUAUUUCUUUUGUUUUAUCAUCUGAUGCCUCUGAAUCUUAUUCAAGAUCUAGUGCUUUCUCCUUUUUUCUCAGCUUUGUUC
Molecule: long non-coding RNA, 235 nt
Filed under: Elaeis guineensis (African oil palm)
Lineage: Eukaryota; Viridiplantae; Streptophyta; Magnoliopsida; Arecales; Arecaceae
Description: long non-coding RNA (EGUI_LNC008072)
Source: RNAcentral